AAUAAGUGUAGUUGUGGGUUUCAGUGCCCAACGUUUGACUAUCCGCCUUAUUUGAAAUAUUUUUAUGUUUAGUAUUUUUAUUGUUAUUAGAUAUUAAAAUAUAAAUAGUAUUUUAUGCGAGACUUAAUUUUUAUAAAGUUUUCAUAAUUUUUUUAAUAAAACGGACAGUCAAACGUUGGAAACGGAAACUCUACGCUUAUA
This is a non-coding RNA of Oryza nivara, 201 nucleotides long. Lineage: Eukaryota; Viridiplantae; Streptophyta; Magnoliopsida; Poales; Poaceae. The record is from Rfam.